CCCGACUGCUAUUUGGGUGAGGAUAAGCCAUGCGAGUUGAAUGGGAUACCUAAAUUUCCCAUGGCAAACUGCUCAGUAACACAUGAUCAACUUACCCUAUAGAGAAAAAUAACCUCGGGAAACUGAGGAUAAUAUUUCAUAGUUGAAUAGGCUUGGAAAAGUUUUUCAAUAAAAGGGAUAAAAAAAAUGGUUUUUAUCUGCUAUAGGAUAGGAUCGUGGACGAUUAUGGUUGUUGGUGAGGUAACGGCUCACCAAGCCGAUAAUCGAUAGGGGCCGUGAGAGCGGGAGCCCCGAGAUGGGUACUGAGACAACGACCCAGGCCUUACGAGGCGCAGCAGGCGCGGAACCUCCGCAAUACACGAAAGUGUGACGGGGUUACCCAAAGUGUUCAAUUCUGAACUGUGGUAGGUGAGUAAUGUUCCCUACUAGAAAGGAGAGGGCAAGGCUGGUGCCAGCCGCCGCGGUAAAACCAGCUCUUCAAGUGGUCGGGAUAAUAUUGGGCUUAAAGUGUCCGUAGCCGGUUUAGUAAGUUCCUGGUAAAAUCGGGUAGCUUAACUAUCUGUAUGCUAGGAAUACUGCUAUACUAGAGGGCGGGAGAGGUCUGAGGUACUACAGGGGUAGGGGUGAAAUCUUAUAAUCCUUGUAGGACCACCAGUGGCGAAGGAGUCAGACUGGAACGCGCCUGACGGUGAGGGACGAAAGCCAGGGGAGCGAACCGGAUUAGAUACCCGGGUAGUCCUGGCCCGUAAACGAUGCAUACCAGGUGAUGGUACGGCCAUGAGCCAUAUCAGUGCCGUAGGGAAACCGUUAAGUGUGCCGCCUGGGAAGUACGGUCGCAAGGCUAAAACUUAAAGGAAUUGGCGGGGGAGCACCACAAGGGGUGAAGCCUGCGGUUCA
This 897-nucleotide ribosomal RNA is filed under the name uncultured archaeon. RNAcentral's name for it is "bacterial SSU rRNA". It matches the Rfam family "Archaeal small subunit ribosomal RNA", at positions 21 to 904 of the family's 1478-position model. The record is from RNAcentral.